RNAcentral lists this long non-coding RNA (852 nucleotides) under Amphibalanus amphitrite. RNAcentral's name for it is "uncharacterized LOC122385831". The record is from RNAcentral. Lineage: Eukaryota; Metazoa; Arthropoda; Thecostraca; Balanomorpha; Balanidae.
GUGGCAGUGGUGUCGAGCGCUAAGGACGCGGGGGAGGCUAUUCAAAACAAUGGUCGGCGUCGCGUCGUAGGAUCGUUUGCCUUGUUUUUUGAAAAGUUAAGCCCCUUUGGAGCAGAUUGGAAGGUUUCAGAAGAUGGAGGAAGAUGGCAAGAUCAAAGAGAUGGGUUCAGUUCCCACGGUGUGCUGACUUGAAUUGGCAUCCUGUGAUUUGUGAUGUGAAUUAUGAUGCACGCACUCGCAGGUGCACGCCCACUGCGGACACGUGUGACGUGACGGCAGCAGGCAGCCGGGGUGUGAACUGUGAACUGGCUCGGCCGAAAAUGUUUAAGGUAUCACAGCGUUUGUAACUGACUAACAUACCCACUACGGGCAUACCCAUUGAGCGGAUAAUGCGUUCGUGUGCAUCGUGUUUGCAUUUAUUCCCGAUAUACUCUGGUGGUAGGUGUGAAUUGGAAACCAGCUUGGUGCUACGACACCGUUUAGUAGGCAUGUGGCACGUCGUUUCUCGAAACCUACCUAUCAGUCUAUGCAAUAAUAUGCAUUGUAUACAUUGUGUGUCAUCGUUCACCUUAGUUGUCAUUGAACCUGUGUUAAAUUCUGAACUUCAGGCCGAGACAGACUAUUUCCACAGUCAGGAAAUCGCACACGAGAACCUGUUCAAAUCCAUUAAGUUGCAAUAGCAUCAAUCGCACGCAAGGAGGUGCGUGUUAUGGAUGCGAGUGCGACCGGGGUUUAUUUGAAUAGGCUCUCGGUCUCGCACAUGAUUUCUGACUGCGGAAAGAAUCGGUUUCAGCCUGUACUCAGUGGGCAAUUCGCUCAUGCGACGGCAAAUAUAAGUUCAAUAUGGAAACA